CUCAGGCUCAUGUGGUUUAAACCAUCUGUAGCUGGUGCCAAGCAUAAAGCACCAGCGGUCUUAAGAUUGAUCAUGUUGUCCUUGCUCUAUGUUACAUAUCAACUGAGCAGAACUCAAAUUAAUUCAAAACAGGAGGCUUUUCAGACGCUUUUUCUCAAAACUUCAGAUUUACUGAGGCUUUACACAGGACUUCAUGGGUGACAAUGACUGCAAGGUAGCCAGGUCGUGGGGCUGCAAAGGAGCCCAAAUCAUCAACUCUCUACCACUGUGCUUGAUCAUUGAUAAGAGCCUUUGUAAUACAGGUAAGGACAUAAAUGUAAUUGGAAUGAUAUUCCUGAAUUUAGUACAGUAAUGUCUUAUAGGAUAAUGUAAUGUUACUCAAACACUGGUCACGACAUUGUUCCAAUGCUGUGCUGUUCUUUUUCAGAGAGAAAAGGCUUUCAACUUGCAACACGUCCAUGCAAGCCAUAUUUGUUUACUCUUUUUAAAUUGUGCUGUCACAAACUUUAACAUUUAGCAUGCUUCCUGAAGCCCGUAGAGUCUGAGAUGUAGCUCUUGGGUUUUUUACAAUUUUUUCGAGCAUUGCACAGUCUGACCUCAAGGUGCACUUAGUUGCUGCUUACCCUUUUAACUCCUUCGAAAGCAGUAAGGGUGUAUUUCAUUUUUCACACAUUUUUCCAUAGGACUGCAUUGAGUCCUGUGAAAAGUUCUUUUUUUUUUUUGUAUAUUCAAUUUUAUUUUCUUUCUUAUGAGUACAUGUUUUAGCUUCUACAAGGGAAAAGUACCAGUAGAGUUGGACACAAAUGUUCUAUUAUUCAUUUUUUGGGUAGGCAUUAGUUUUUACUCGUUUUUAUUGAUAGGAUUUGGAUAUGUUUCUUUAAAAUGUCGGUACACUUAUUUAACAGAUUCAGCUGUUUUGAUAUGCACAGUGUCGUUCCUUCAUCUGUUACCCAGACAGAGUAUGUGUGAUGUGUGAGACCAAAUUAUAAAGAUAUUCUGUCAACUUUAAUUUUCUGUCUGAGUGAUCAUUACAUGUAAAUACAUCCCAAUCACAGCACAUCCAUUGUCUUUAAUUUGUGGUUUAUGGUAUAUGACAGAGAUAAAAUUAGGGCCCUUAGAAUAAACUGAGUAAAAAUAAAAGACGGUUCCAUUCAGGGUCCUAAUUAAUUCACAUUACCCUGAUUUUUUCAUGUAUUUUCUGUUACUUACUUCUGAUACUGCAGUUUUAAUAACUCCCCCCUCCCCCCCAAUAAAUAAAUAAAUGAAUGAAUGAUAGGCAGUCCCACAGGCAGAGUUUAGAUAGAGCCCAAACUGCUAACACUAGCAGCAUUAGCAUCCAGGCUUCCGUAAAGGCCUCUUAAGGUAAUAUAGCUCAACAGUCACCCUGCUUGACUUUUCAGUAGCUUAUCACUCGGAAAUUACAGUGCAACACACUUGAUAAUAUACUAGUAUUAUCA
This is a long non-coding RNA of Astatotilapia calliptera (eastern happy), 1457 nucleotides long. The record is from Ensembl. Lineage: Eukaryota; Metazoa; Chordata; Actinopteri; Cichliformes; Cichlidae.